This 28-nucleotide non-coding RNA is filed under the name Bombyx mori (domestic silkworm). Lineage: Eukaryota; Metazoa; Arthropoda; Insecta; Lepidoptera; Bombycidae. The record is from RNAcentral.
UUGAUAGUUUGUACUUAAUGACGCUUAU